Molecule: ribosomal RNA, 2243 nt
Filed under: human metagenome
Description: bacterial LSU rRNA
Rfam family: Bacterial large subunit ribosomal RNA
Source: RNAcentral
UGAGGCGAACGGAGGGAACUGAAACAUCUUAGUACCUCUAGGAAGAGAAAAUAAAUAAUGAUUCCCCUAGUAGUGGCGAGCGAACGGGGAAAAGCCUAAACCAACACUUGUUGUUGGGGUUGUAGGACUACUUAAUGAAGUUUGACAAAUAUUUACAUAUAGCAGAAUGAGUUGGAAUGCUUUAACAUAGAGGGUGAAAUUCCCGUAAGCGAAAUGUGUAAAUCUUCUAGUAGUAUCCUGAGUAGGGCGGGGCACGUGAAACCCUGUCUGAAUCCGCCGGGACCACCCGGUAAGGCUAAAUACUAACCAGACACCGAUAGUGAACUAGUACCGUGAGGGAAAGGUGAAAAGAACCCCGGGAGGGGAGUGAAAUAGAUUCUGAAACCAAUUACUUACAAUUAGUCAGAGCCCGUUAAUGGGUGAUGGCGUACAUCUUGCAGAAUGGACCGGCGAGUUAUGUCAACAUGCGAGGUUAAGUGGAUUAAAGCGAAGCCGUAGAGAAAUCGAGUCUUAACAGGGCGCUUUAGUAUGUUGAUAUAGACCCGAAACCAGGUGAUCUACCCAUGAGCAGGUUGAAGCUUAGGUAAUACUAAGUGGAGGACCGAACCGCAGUACGCUGAAAGGUGCCCGGAUGACUUGUGGGUAGGGGUGAAAUUCCAAUCGAACUUGGAGAUAGCUGGUUCUCCUCGAAAUAGCUUUAGGGCUAGCGUGUAAUGUUAAGUGGUGGGGGUAGAGCACUGAAUAUGGAAUGGCGACGCCUAGUCGUACUGACUAUAAUCAAACUCCGAAUACUGCCAUGUAUUAUUAUGCAGUCGGUACAUCGGUGAUAACGUCGAUGCACGCGAGGGAAACAACCCAGAUCGUCAGCUAAGGUCCCAAAAUUGUGUUAAGUGAGAAAGGUUGUGGAGUUUCUUAAACAGCUAGGAUGUUGGCUUAGAAGCAGCCAUCCUUUAAAGAGUGCGUAAUAGCUCACUAGUCGAGAGAUUCUGUGCCGAUAAUUCAACGGGACUAAAACACAAUACCGAAGCUACGGGCAGUGAUGCGUUAGAGGAGCGUUCUAAGGGCCUUGAAGCUAGACCGUAAGGACUAGUGGAGCGCUUAGAAGUGAGAAUGCCGGUAUGAGUAACGAUUCAAAGUGAGAAUCUUUGACGCCUAUUGGGGAAGGUUUCCUGGGCAAGGUUCGUCCACCCAGGGUUAGUCGGGACCUAAGACGAGACCGAAAGGUGUAGCCGAUGGACAACAGGUUAAUAUUCCUGUACUGAGUAAAAUGUGAUGGAGUGACGGAGAAGGAUAGUCUUACCACUUACUGGAUUGUGGGGUAAGUAUCAACUGGGCGUUGUAGGCAAAUCCGCAGCGCUUAACCGGGAGAUGUGAUGCAUAGUGAAAGGGUAACCAAGUAGCGAAUUAGAUGAUUUCAUACUUCUUAAAAAAGCUUCUAACUACAAAUUUUAUGAACCCGUACCGAGAACGAACACACGUCCCCAAGAUGAGUAUUCUAAGGCGAGCGAGAAAACCAAUGUUAAGGAACUCUGCAAAUUAACCCCGUAAGUUAGCGAAAAGGGGUGCCUAUGGUAACACAUAGGCCGCAGUGAAGAGUAAGGGGGAACUGUUUACCAAAAACACAGCUCUAUGCUAAGUCGCAAGACGAUGUAUAUGGGGUGACUCCUGCCCAGUGCCCGAAGGUUAAGCAAAGGCGUUAGCAAUGCGAAGCGUUGAUGUGAAGCCCGGGUGAACGGCGGCCGUAACUAUAACGGUCCUAAGGUAGCGAAAUUCCUUGUCGGCUAAAUACUGACCUGCACGAAAGGAGUAAUUAUCUCUUAACUGUCUCAACAUUGGACUCGGUGAAAUUAUGGUUGCGGCGAAGACGCCGCAUACCCGCAUCUAGACGAAAAGACCCCGUGGAGCUUUACUAUAACUUCAUAUUGGAGUUUGAUUUAACUUGUGUAGGAUAGGUGGGAGACUUUGAAGUAGGGACGCUAGUCCCUAUGGAGUCGACGUUGAAAUACCACCCUUGUUACAUUGAACUUCUAACUUGUUGCCAUUAUCUGGCAAGAGGACAGUGUGUGGUGGGUAGUUUGACUGGGGCGGUCGCCUCCCAAAGGGUAACGGAGGCGUUCAAAGUUACACUCAGUACGGUCAGAAACCGUAUUAAAGAGCAUAAAGGUAGAAGUGUGAUUGACUGUGAGACUUACAAGUCGAGCAGGUGCGAAAGCAGGACUUAGUGAUCCGGUGGUUCCGCAUGG